GGCGGUGUAGCUCAGUCGGUUAGAGCGGGGGUUUCAUAAGCCCUGAGUCGGUGGUUCGAAUCCACCCACCGCUACCA
RNAcentral lists this transfer RNA (77 nucleotides) under Candidatus Omnitrophota bacterium. RNAcentral describes it as "tRNA-Met". It matches the Rfam family "tRNA". From Rfam's summary of the family: Transfer RNA (tRNA) molecules are approximately 80 nucleotides in length. The record is from RNAcentral. Lineage: Bacteria; Pseudomonadati; Candidatus Omnitrophota.